This is an RNA transcript of Malania oleifera, 3220 nucleotides long. It is a transcript of the gene named pentatricopeptide repeat-containing protein At2g33760-like, with no coding region annotated. Lineage: Eukaryota; Viridiplantae; Streptophyta; Magnoliopsida; Santalales; Ximeniaceae. The record is from RefSeq and is a predicted model, not a curated record. The transcript has 3 exons.
ACUUUCAUUUUUCUAUUUUUCUUCAAGGGAAAAAUGACGUCGUUUAGACGCUGAAACGUCCUCAACUUCUCGGCCGCGAGGGCCUCCCUCCAGCCCGGGGGUACGACGGCCGCUGAUGAUACUAUGUUGAGUAUGUUCAAAUACAAAAAGCGCAGCUUCUGCGUCUCUAAACAAGAAUCACUUCGUUUCCUCUCUGUUUCUUCUGCAGCAGCCACUGUUGAUGCCAUGAGCCAGCCUCAAGUUCCUCAACAAACGAUCUUUAAUCCCCAUACCCACUUCGCAGAAACAUCAGAUUUCAAUUUUUCACACUCUUCAGAACCAAAAUAUUACGUCUCUGUUCUUAUCAACUGCAAAAACAUCUUUCAAAUUAGGCAAGUUCAUGCUCAAGUGACCGUCAAUGGAGUCCUACCUAACCUUACUGUUACAAAUAAGCUUCUUUACAUGUACUGUCAGCAUAAAGCUCUGGGCGAUGCUUAUGCAUUAUUUAAUGGGAUGAUACAGAGAGACUCUUUCUCUUGGAGUGUAAUGGUUGGUGGGUUUGCUAAAAUUUGUGACUACGUGAAAUGUUUUGGGACGUUCAGGGAGUUUAUUCGGUCCGGGGCGCGGCCUGAUAAUUACACAUUGCCUUCUGUCAUAAGGGCUUGUAGGGAUACUGCUGACCUUCAAAUGGGCAGGUUGAUCCAUCAUGUUGUUUACAAGUUUGGGAUGCAUUUGGAUCCUUUUGUGUGUGCGGCGCUAGUGGACAUGUAUGCAAAAUGCCAGGUAAUUGAAGAUGCAAGGCAGUUGUUUGAUAAAAUGUCGAGGAGAGACCUUGUGUCCUGGACGGUCAUGAUUGGUGCAUAUGCAGAGUGUGGGAAUGCCAAUGAGUCAUUGGCUUUGUUUGAUAGGAUGAUAUUUGAACGUGUUGUCCCAGAUAAGGUUGCUAUGGUGACUGUUGUCUUCGCUUGUGCAAAAUUAGGAGCUAUGCAUAAGGCUAGGCUUGUGCAUGACUAUAUAUUGAAGAAGAAGUUUUCGUUGGAUGUGAUAUUGGGAACUGCAGUGAUUGAUAUGUACGCUAAGUGCGGGAGUGUUGAGUCUGCAAGGGAAAUCUUUGAUGCCAUGACGGAAAAGAACAUUAUUUCAUGGAGCGCAAUGAUUGCAGCUUAUGGGUAUCAUGGGCAAGGAAGAAAAGCUCUUGAUUUGUUCCCUAUGAUGUUGAGUAGUGGGAUAUCACCAAACAGGGUUACAUUUGUUUCGCUAUUAUAUGCAUGUAGUCAUUCGGGACUUGUUGAAGAAGGUCGGCACUUUUUUUCCCUGAUGUGGGAAGAGUAUGCUAUUAGAUCAGAUGUGAAACACUAUACUUGUAUGGUUGAUCUGCUGGGCCGUGCUGGGAGACUUGAUGAGGCCUUGGAAUUGAUUGAGAAUAUGCAUGUUGAUAGAGAUGAGGGUUUGUGGAGUGCUUUCCUUGGGGCAUGUAGAAUCCAUGGGCGCAUAGAGCUGGCAGAAAAGGCAGCGAAAUCCCUUCUUGAAUUACAGCCACAAAACCCGGGCCAUUAUGUAUUGCUUUCAAAUAUUUAUGCUAAUGUAGGUAGGUGGGAAGAGGUGGCUAGGAUCAGGGAACAGAUGACCCACAGGAGAUUAAAGAAAACUCCUGGUUGGACUUGGAUAGAGGUGGAUAAGAAAAUCCACAAAUUUAGUGUUGGAGAUGCAACUCAUCCCCGUUUGAAGGAGAUCUAUUCAAUGCUGGAGAGUUUGAGUAAGAAGUUGGAGUUGGCUGGUUAUAUUCCCGAUACAAAAUUCGUUCUACAUGAUGUGGAAGAGGAACUUAAAGUAGGAAUCUUAUACACACACAGUGAGAAAUUGGCAAUUGCAUUUGGUCUUAUUGCUACUCCCGAGGGAACCCCUAUUAGGAUUACAAAGAAUCUCAGGGUUUGUGGCGAUUGCCACACUUUCAUUAAAUUUGUAUCAGCACUUACACACAGGAUGAUUAUUGUCCGAGAUGCAAAUCGAUUCCACCAUUUCAAGGAAGGGGUUUGUUCUUGUGGAGACUAUUGGUAAACGACUUUGAUGAUACUACUGAGGAAGUAUGCUCUAUUCUUGAAAGGAUUGUGGAGCAAAGCAAUCAACAGUACAAAAGCCUCCAUAAAAGGACUACAAAAAAGGCCAAUGGGAAGGGAGGCUUCAACAAACUUUACAAUGUCAUUACAAUUGGAUCUAAAUUUCCCUCAGAUGGUGUUUGAGCCACCAUCUCUAAAACAUUGAAAGAGAGCUCUGCCCCUUCAAAUAUUUGAUUUUUCCUGCACAAGAUCCAAAGAACAGCUUGAGGAAUUCCCUUUGAAAAGCCCCUUUUAAGAACUCCCAAUAAGGUUGAGAAAACUUGAAUGGAUUUGGAGGGUUUGUAAUCUUCAACUUUGAAAACAGUGCGCAUUCAAGUCCUCUUCUUCUCUUGACUAUGGUUGGAUCAUUGAAAAUCCAACUGGCAAGCAGAGCAGGCAUCCCUAACAUCACUUGGACUUCAUGCCUCCAUCCAAAAGCACUGUAAAGAGUUAACUCUUUACUUCCAAUGGCAAGCAGCACCCACCCCCUGCCAAACAGAUCCUACCUGCCUUUGCGAUGGCCUCUCAAUCACUAAAGCCAUAAACCUGCCCCACAUCCAUCUGUGCUCAUCUGAGCUUUUCUGCUGGAAUCCUUGAAGUGAGUUUUGUUGACACGGAACCAGCUUUUAUGGUUGCAGUCAAAUUGAUUCUGGAUAUGAGUUUAUUUUCUCAUGGGAGGCUUGUUGGCUUGCUGCGGUUUAUUCAUGGUGAGGAGUUGCUGCAUUUGGUGCCUUAGGGAGGUGCCAACGGUGGCCUUGCAGGGUGAGCCACUCCUGCAGCAGGUUUUAGCUCUGGCACCAGUUAUGGCAUCCUAUCUUUCUCGAAACAUUUUGACUGAUAAUGGAGCUGCAUCACAGGCUUCAUAAUGGAGCUGCCACUGUAUUGUCUUGCUAUAGCUCUUGAAAAGUUUUGGGUACUCCAUAUUAAGCGCUUGUUCAGUUGUUCUGUACCAAGCUAUUUUACUAGUUUGUUUGGAAGCCUCACAUUAGAUUAAUGCUCCCUAUUGAAAACAACUAAAGAUGAGCAUCAUUGCAGAGGAUAUUUCUUAUCUUUUUUUUUUUAGCAUUUAUAGUUAAGGGAUAGUUUAUUUAAAGGCAAGCUCUCAGUUGGUUGAAUAAUAUAUGAAUCAGUAUUGUUUGUUUGAA